Molecule: ribosomal RNA, 276 nt
Filed under: uncultured prokaryote
Description: partial 16S ribosomal RNA
Rfam family: Bacterial small subunit ribosomal RNA
Source: RNAcentral
UACGUAGGUGGCGAGCGUUAUCCGGAAUUACUGGGCGUAAAGAGCUCGUAGGUGGUUUGUCACGUCGUCUGUGAAAUUCCGGGGCUUAACCUCGGGCGUGCAGGCGAUACGGGCAAUACUUGAGUGCUGUAGGGGAGACUGGAAUUCCAGGUGUAGCGGUGGAAUGCGCAGAUAUCUGGAGGAACACCAGUGGCGAAGGCGGCCUCCUGGACCAUUCCUGACACUCAGACGCGAAAGCUAGGGUAGCAAACGGGAUUAGAUACCCGGGUAGUCCCU